Molecule: long non-coding RNA, 2265 nt
Organism: Coregonus clupeaformis (lake whitefish)
Lineage: Eukaryota; Metazoa; Chordata; Actinopteri; Salmoniformes; Salmonidae
Exons: 4
Source: RefSeq, a predicted model, not a curated record
UCUCUCUCUCUCUCUCUCUCUCUCUCUCUCUCUCUCUCUCUCUCUCUCUCUCUCUCCUCUACACUCGAGUCGGUUGUGUCUAGUGGAACAAAACGGUAGGGAACGUACAUUUUGAGAGGCGCAGAGAAUAGGCGAUCACGCAGAGUAGGAACAAAAGCCGUCAGUUGUGAAAGGACCAAACAGUGAAGCUCCAGUGUUUGGGUUUCUGGCCACGUUCGCCACUGCCGCGUGAGAGGAGGGGACCGACAGAUUCCAACCGCUCUCUCUCAUCUAGACUGGGGAGAAUACUAUGUUAGACUCAAUAGCACAAGAACCCUAUUUAUAGGGUCUCUCUCUCUUGCCAUUCAAGCACAAGUAAUCUUUUUUUGAAGAAAAUGUUAGUAGGAGAAACGUCAUUGAUGAGAUUGAUGAGCUAUAGAAACUUUUGUAAUAGGCCUAUAUUAUCAAAAAGGAUCUGUGGCACUAUUUUGGAUUAUCAAAAGAGGCGCUGUUGAAGAAGUAAAAGUGAGUGUACAUACUGGAAGGUGUACCCAUGUCAGGAAACAAUAUGGUGGCUCAUGUUACCUAGGGGUCUCAGAUACCAGGGACUGGGAAGAGGAAGAGGGCCCAAGUCCAACCUACAAGGAACAACCAUACAUUCACAGAUGAAGAACGAGAAAAAGAAGCGAGUGGGCGGAUGGAGUGAAGGAUGAAGGCUGGGUAGACGACUGAACAGAGAGAGAGAGGCCCCGUGCGGCUGUCCAUCCGUUCAUCGCCAUGGGCUCUUGUCCUCGUCUCUCCUCCCCUGGUCCAUCCUCCCAUCCCAGGGCCCUUUGAAGCGAGUGCGGCCCAAAAAGGGAGCUCUUGAGUGGGCUGGCGAGGCAGGAAUAAGUCCAUGCUGGUUACCAGCAACUCUGGAGAUGACGGCAAAAGAAAUCGAUAUGGAGAAGAGAAUGUGGAGAAGAGAGUGGGGUUGUCCAGGUUAGCCGACGGCCUAGGGGCCUGGAGACCUCCAGAGGAGGCCCAUCUCGACCUCUCUCAGCCCCAGCCAAGGCUCCUCAGACUGGGCCUGGGUCCCUACCCACAAUGGGUGUGUGUGGUUCUGCUGGAGGGGGCCUCCCAACAAACACCACAUGAUACACAUUCUCCCAAGUUUUUUAAUAAAAAAAAAAAAGAAUGCUAAAGGGCAUUUCCCUCUCUCUUUAUUUCUGUUUUCUUUAAAAAGAUUGACGUACUCCCCCACCUGCACCCUGUGGCUGUGUGUGAAUGCUGGUGGGGGGUUUUGAUUUUUGAUUCAGACUUCAGAUCCACUCACUGCUUAUUCCCGGGGACACUUUUACAUUUGACAAAGAGACAGUAACGUCUCAUUUUUACAUUUCUAUUUUUCUUUUCUACACUGGUGUGCUUCCUCCACAGCAAUAUACAAACCACAACAACCACUGAAAUAUAUUUUUUUAUCAGGCUCUUUAUUGUUCAAUUCCAAUUGAAUUUUUUGAAUUUUUCAAUUGGCAUGAUCAAAGACCAUAGAAUAAAAUGUAUGCCCAGUAAAACCCAUGUCAGAUCUCCUAUCAAUAGAGUUCAUUCAUUUUGACAAGCUAGAAUAAAGGGAUCCAAGGAAACACAAGGCCAUCAACAGGAGCAGUACAGAUGACUGGACACUCCCUGGAGAACACAGAUCCAGCAGACAGAUCAACAUGUGAGAGUGAAAGAACAAAGGUCACUGGAUUGGACCAACCGGAUCACAUGAGACCUUGUGGAGCGCUCCCAUUGGUUCACCUAAGGAAAAAAGAGGGGGAAAAGACUCCUUUGACUUCAAGCUUGCUAUGAAGAUUCAUAGAAUGUGGAGUAAGAUGGACAUGCAAAACUGGACAAAAUAAAAAUACAGAAAUUGCCUCUACAAUAUUGACAUUGAAUUAGUACACUCACCUCAGCUCUUCACAGUUGACUGUUGCUCUCUGAAGCCAUUCUAGUUUGGAAAACAAUUAGCAAUGAUCACAGAUCAUUUGUUUUGGUUUUAAGCUGAUCUUUUGCUGAGGUGUGUAUGAUAUAUUAUAACUGUAUGCAGCAUAAAUCAUAUAACAGAAAUAUAUCAAUAAAAGUGGUUUGUUUUCUGAAAGUAUUUUGUAUUUAUUUGGUUUAGCUCUAUCAAUGUCAAAUAAUGUUUUGACUGGUGGCUAUAUUCGAUAGUCAUCACGUUUAUCAUCUCCCAAGAGAUACAGUGCCUUCAGAAAGUAUUCACACACCUUGACUUUUUCCACAUUUUGUUGUGUUACAGCCUACACCCAA